UUAUCGGAAUGAGAACAAUUCAAAUCCUUUAACGAGGAUCUAGCGGAGGGCAAGUCUGGUGCCAGCAGCCGCGGUAAUUCCAGCUCCGCAGGUGUAUAUCUAUGCUGCUGCGGUUAAAAAGCUCGUAGUUGGAUCUGCGUGCUCGGAACUGGUUGGCUCACUGAGUUCAAACUGGUCUCCGGCGCUUUAUUGGCUGGUUUUCCCUUGAUGCUCUUAACCGGGUGUCUUGGGUGGCUAGCACGUUUGCUUUGAAAAAAUUAGAGUGCUCAAUACAGGCGUAAAGCCUUGAAUAGUGGUGCAUGGAAUAAUAGAAUAGGACCUCGGCUCUAUUUUGUUGGUUUUCGGAACGCGAGGUAAUGAUUAAGAGGGACAGACGGGGGCAUUCGUAUUGCGACGUUAGAGGUGAAAUUCUUGGAUCGUCGCAAGACGGACGACUGCGAAAGCAUUUGCCAAGAAUGUUCUCAUUAAUCAAGAACGAAAGUUAGAGGUUCGAAGGCGAUCAGAUACCGCCCUAGUUCUAACCGUAAACGAUGCCAACUAGCGAUUCGCAGGCGUUAAACAACGACCUUGCGGGCAGCUUCCCGGAAACGAAAGUGUUCGGGUUCCGGGGGAAGUAUGGUUGCAAAGCUGAAACUUAAAGGAAUUGACGGAAGGGCACCACCAGGAGUGGAGCCUGCGGCUUAAUUUGACCCAACACGGGAAAACUCACCCGGCCCGGACACCGUAAGGAUUGACAGAUUGAGAGCUCUUUCUUGAUUCGGUGGGUGGUGGUGCAUGGCCGUUCUUAGUUGGUGGAGCGAUUUGUCUGGUUUAUUCCGAUAACGAACGAGACUCUGGCCUACUAAAUAGUGGGCGGAUUCUUUCUGUCCGCAACACUUCUUAGAGGGACAAGCGGUGUUCAGCCGCACGAGAUUGAGCAAUAACAGGUCUGUGAUGUCCUUAGAUGUCCGGGGCUGCACGCGCGCUACACUGAAGGAAUCAGCGUGCUUUCUGACCUUGCCCGAAAGGGCUGGGUAACCCGAUGAAAAUCCUUCGUGAUUGGGAUAGGGACUUGCAAUUAUUUCCCUUGAACGAGGAAUUCCCAGUAAGUGUGGGUCAUAAGCUCGCGUUGAUUACGUCCCUGCCCUUUGUACACACCGCCCGUCGCUGCCCGGAACUGAGCCGUUUCGAGAAGAACAGGGACCGUCGUUGAAGGGCCUUAACGGGCUUUUCUCUGAUAGAAACUGUU
This 1228-nucleotide ribosomal RNA is filed under the name metagenome. RNAcentral describes it as "SSU rRNA". It matches the Rfam family "Eukaryotic small subunit ribosomal RNA", at positions 506 to 1758 of the family's 1831-position model. The record is from RNAcentral.